GACGAACGCUGGCGGCGUGCUUAACACAUGCAAGUCGAACGGAAAGGCCCUGCUUUCGUCGGGUGCCCGAGGGGCGAACGGGUGUGUAACAUGGGAGUCACCCUCCCUUUGCUUUGGGAUAACUUCAGGCAACUGGGGCUAAUACCGGCUAGGAGCUCCUGCUGCAUGGUGGGGGUUGGACAGUUGCGGCGGAUGGGGAUGGACUCGCGGGUUAUCAGCUUGUUGGGGGGGUAGUGGCUUACCAAGGGUUAGGCGGAUAGCCGGCAUGGGAGGGUGGACGGGCACAUGGGGACUGAGAUACGGACCAGACGGGUACGGGAGGCAGAGGUGGGGAAUAUUGCACAAUGGGCGGGAGCCUGAGGCGGAGGCGUCGCGUGCGGGAUGACGGCCUACGGGUUGUAAACCGCUUUAGGCUGUGACGUAGCGUGAGUGACGGUAAUAGGUGAAGAAGCACCGGCUAACUACGUG
Molecule: ribosomal RNA, 468 nt
Filed under: uncultured bacterium
Lineage: Bacteria
Description: partial 16S ribosomal RNA
Rfam family: Bacterial small subunit ribosomal RNA
Source: RNAcentral